RNAcentral lists this ribosomal RNA (253 nucleotides) under uncultured bacterium. Its description in RNAcentral is "partial 16S ribosomal RNA". It matches the Rfam family "Bacterial small subunit ribosomal RNA", at positions 524 to 776 of the family's 1533-position model. The record is from RNAcentral.
UACGAAGGGGGCUAGCGUUGUUCGGAAUUACUGGGCGUAAAGCGCACGUAGGCGGAUACUUAAGUCAGGGGUGAAAUCCCGGGGCUCAACCCGGAACUGCCUUUGAUACUGGGUAUCUCGAGUCCGGAAGAGGCGAGUGGAAUUCCUGGUGUAGCGGUGGAAUGCGCAGAUAUCAGGAGGAACACCAAUAGCGAAGGCAGCUCGCUGGGACGUUACUGACACUGAAACAUGAAAGCGUGGGGUAGCGAAUGGG